UCUACUUGCUUAAGUUUCCAAGCCUUUUGCUAAAGAUGCUGCCACGCUGUGUCUAGAUAUCCAAUAAUGUGAUCAAUUGCUACUCACCUUCCACCGAGACGCAUGCCAAAGUCACAACAGACGUUGUCUGAAGGAAAGCAAUGCCAUUUAUUAUCUCACUGGAUGUUAAAGAUAGAACCAUAUUUAUUGUAAGAAGAAUCUGAUGGAAGAAGCCCUUGAAUGCUAAUGCUAUCCUGUAAAAAAAAAACUAUCCUAGAGGCCAUUGACAACAAUGGCCUUCAAACUCCUCUUGGUUGGAGAUGGGAAAAGGGGAUGGAAGCCAAAUGGACAGAUUCAGAGGAGAGGGUAAAGAGACCAGCUAGAAGCCUACAGGGAUCUUUCUCCCAGAAUGAGUGAGGCUUAAAAAAAAAUUUAAAAAAAGAUAUGUUUUGUGGAGAUGGUGUCUCCAAAUGCCCUCAUGAAGUCAGUUUUCCAGCUGAAAGCAUCAUGCAUGGAGAAAUUGAAGGAGCUCCAGAAACUGUUGAGCGGCCAGAAGUGUUUCAGGUGUUCCCUGCUCUCCAGAACACACCUAUACAAGCUGUCCAAGCGGCCGGUACAGUUCAAGGGAGUGUUGCCAGCAGUACAGGUUCAAUGCAUACAUACACAACAUUAACGGUGUGCAUUCUGCUUCCCACAGCUGCACAGCUCUCAUACGAGAGCAGAAAGCUGAAGCGAGCAGCCCAGGCUGGUGCUGCAGGUAAGUGGCAGAGCUCACUCAGUGGACUGUUGACAGAGCUCUUGGCUCCCUUGUGCUUACCUUAGAAGUCUUCAAACAGUAAAAUGAAAGAGAAAGGGACAUGAGAGGAAAUGAAACCACAUAAAGAUAACUAGUCAGCCAUCUCUU
This 883-nucleotide long non-coding RNA is filed under the name Numida meleagris (helmeted guineafowl). RNAcentral describes it as "lncRNA (ENSNMEG00000018491.1)". Lineage: Eukaryota; Metazoa; Chordata; Aves; Galliformes; Numididae. The record is from RNAcentral.